AAAAUAAUAUAUAAUAAAAUGUUAAUUUUAAGCAUUUAAAAUUAUAAAAAUAUUUAUUUUGUAACAUUUAAAUAGUUUCUACAAAGUUUCUUAAAAAUAAAAAUGUAUUUAUAUAAUAAUAUCUUAUUUAGCUCUAUAUAUUUAAUUAACAUUUUUUUUUUUCAAUUCAUUAAAAGAUUUAAAAAAUUGAUGAUUGUAAAAUUAAAGUUUAAACAACAUUAUAGUAUUAAAUUAUUUUA
RNAcentral lists this transfer RNA (239 nucleotides) under Pneumocystis jirovecii. Its description in RNAcentral is "tRNA-Pseudo(TAA)". The record is from RNAcentral. Lineage: Eukaryota; Fungi; Ascomycota; Pneumocystomycetes; Pneumocystales; Pneumocystaceae.